Molecule: ribosomal RNA, 460 nt
Filed under: uncultured bacterium
Lineage: Bacteria
Description: partial 16S ribosomal RNA
Rfam family: Bacterial small subunit ribosomal RNA
Source: RNAcentral
CCUACGGGUGGCAGCAGUGAGGAAUAUUGGUCAAUGGGCGGAAGCCUGAACCAGCCAAGUCGCGUGCAGGAUGACGGCCCUACGGGUUGUAAACUGCUUUUAUACGGGAAUAACGCGCCUUACGUGUAGGGCUUUGCAUGUACCGUAUGAAUAAGGACCGGCUAAUUCCGUUCCAGCAGCCGCGGUAAUACGGAAGGUCCGGGCGUUAUCCGGAUUUAUUGGGUUUAAAGGGAGCGUAGGCGGCAUGUCAAGCGUGCUGUGAAAUGUCCGGGCUCAACCCGGGCCUUGCAGCGCGAACUGGCGUGCUUGAGUCCGCGGAAAGCAGGCGGAAUUCGUCGUGUAGCGGUGAAAUGCUUAGAUAUGACGAAGAACCCCGAUUGCGAAGGCAGCAUACCGGCGCGCAACUGACGCUCAUGCACGAAAGCGUGGGUAUCGAACAGGAUUAGAUACCCUGGUAGUC